ACACCGUUUGUCUAAGAACUGUAUCUCCUCUUCCAGUUUCAGUUUUGGGGUUUUAGGUUUUGUGAGAGAAAAUUUCAAUUUUUGAGAAUUUGAUGCUUCUGAUUGAAAAUUCCUUCAAGUUUCGCUACGGCUAUGAAUUCUGGCUAUUCUCUGCACAACAUUGAGCCUCUUAAUGGCUCAAAUUUUAAAACAUGGAAAGAGCGUAUUGAGCUUUAUCUUGGCCUCCAAGGACUUGCUGUGUGUUUUAGGGAGCCUCAACCUGUUUUGAAUGAGACUAGUACUGAGGCGAUAAUUGUGAAACACAGGGAGUGGCAUAGGACCAAUAGAAUGGCCAAACUAAUUAUGAAACAAACCAUGUCACCUGUGGUGAGGGGUGGUGUCGCUGAACCUGAUACGGCCUUGGGAUUUAUGACUGCUAUUGGCCUGAAGUUUAAGGAGAAUGAGAAAGCAGAGAUUUCAGCCUUACUAGAUCAGCUUUUAGGCAUGAAGUUUGACACCUCAGAGAGUGUUAGGGAGCAUAUAAUGAAAAUUAUUCACAUAACCACUAGACUUGGUGAACUGGAGACUGUGUUCCUUGAUGCCUUCAUUGUUCACUUGGCCCUGAUCCGUCUUCCUCCUAGUUUUGGCCCACUGAAGACUGCAUACUUUUCACAGAAGGAAAAAUGGGACUUGAAUGAGCUUAUAGCAAUUUGUGUGCAGGAAGAAGAGCUAAUUAAGAGCCAUGGGACUGUGUCUGUGAAUCUAGUUAACAAGCAGAAAUGGAAGGGUAAGGGCAAAGCUGUAGCGUCUAGUGCUGCAAAUUCUGGUGAGGGCAUGUAAUAACCUGUUUUAACAACUCUAGUGGAUUUACUGUUAAUAAAGGAAAAAGGGUGGCAGACAACUUUCUGAUUUUAGGGAGUAAAGCUCGGAGAUGUGUUUAUUUUUCCUGUUUAUGCAUAAUUGAUGAGAGCUAACAAGCAGAUUAGCAUCUCUCUCACUCACUCUGUUUCACUUCAAAAAAAAACAGAGCAUUAGUUCUCUAACUCUGUUCUUCCUCCAUCAACCACCUCCAAACGCCGGAUCACUCCAUUUGGCUUCGCCUGAGGCUGCUCUACCUACUGGACGUCGUCUUUUUUUUCCCGGCACAGCCUCAAGGUCCGGCAAACCAGCUCGACCCGGUUGCACCCGAAAACGAACCAACUCAUCCUCCUCGUGUUUCCGGCCACCAAUCCCCCCCAAACUUCAUCCUCGAGCUCGCCUCAACGUCCUGAAGCUCCCAGAAGUAACCUUGCGCGGCGGCACGGCCGGCAGCGACGGCGGCGACCCGGAGUCCGGUUUAGCUCGUUUUCGUUCCAAACUCGAUAUCUCGAACUACAGAGCACCAUUUCACUUGAUUCUUGGCUCAUUGAGCUCGCCUCAUCUUCCUAUACAAGCACCAAGAAGGAUCGGAACUGGAUCGAACGUUUUUACGUUCGUCGGAGCUCGACCCGUGCGGAUCGAACAACCAACCUUCGGAUCAAGAUAUCUCGAGCUAUACACGAUCGUUUCUUGUGAUUCUUGGCUUGUUGAGUUCAUAAGGAAGUUCUGAACAAUUCUCCAGAAGGGAUCGAGGCGUGAGGUUGUAGUUUUCACGUCGAUUUUGGAGCUCGCCGGUUUCUGGAAAAAUUCCGGCCACCGACUGAUUUUUGGUGAUCGACGGUUGGAUUUGGCGGACGAUUCGUGAAAUUGUAUUUUGAGCUGUUAAGAAGACGCAGCGGGAAUUUAGAGCGGGAAAUCCUACAGGUCAGGAGAACCAGGACGGUGAUCGGGCUGCUUAGAGUAGUGUUAUGUGAAUUACAGCAUUAUAUUGUGAGGUGUGUUAUGCUCAUUUAGAGCUUUGCAAUUUUACUUUGUAAGAGUGAAUUGUAAUAAUUAACUCGAGGUUUUCGAGUUUUUGUGUUGAGUGGCGAGUGGUGUGUUUGUUUGUGAGAAAAAAAUUCAGAACGUUAUUUGUAUUAAUUGUUUAUUCAUGUUUCGGAUUUGAA
This is an RNA transcript of Rosa rugosa (rugosa rose), 2003 nucleotides long. RefSeq lists it as uncharacterized. NCBI's taxonomy places the organism in Eukaryota, Viridiplantae, Streptophyta, Magnoliopsida, Rosales, Rosaceae. The record is from RefSeq and is a predicted model, not a curated record. The transcript has 4 exons.